RNAcentral lists this ribosomal RNA (320 nucleotides) under Cryptops lamprethus. RNAcentral describes it as "partial 12S ribosomal RNA". Lineage: Eukaryota; Metazoa; Arthropoda; Chilopoda; Scolopendromorpha; Cryptopidae. The record is from RNAcentral.
GAUCUUGUCAUUAAAAAUUAUCUUAGGUAGUAACAGAAUCCUUGAAACUUAAAAAGAUUGGCGGUAGUUAGACCUUAUCAGGGGAAUUUAUUUAUCAAAAUGACAGUGCGCACGUAGAAUAACUUAGGUUUUAUUAGCUUGUAUACCGUUGUGUAGUUUUUCUUUUAAAAAGUUAUUUCUGAAUUUAUUGCAAGGUGUGAAUGCGGAAAAUCAAAUCAAGGUGCAGUUUAUUUCUAAGGUAGGGAUGAAUUACAAUGCAUGAGUGUGUCCGAAUAUAUAACUGAGAUGUUAAUUGAAGGUGGAUUUGUAUGUAAAUGUAG